ACCAGCGAGUAGAGCAGAAGCAAAGGAUUGUGGGAGCGCCAGCAAGCAGAGCAGAGGCAAAGGAUUGUGGGAGCACCAGCGAGUAGAGCAGAGGCAAAGGAUUGUGGGAGCGCCAGCAAGCAGAGCAGAGGCAAAGGAUUGUGGGAGCGUCAGCAAAGUCCUUGACAGGACAGGAAGACAGGAGGACGCUGAAGUCAGAGCAAGUUUUCUUAUGGCCUAAACCUCCAGAGUAACAAAGAUUGGAACUUAGCACAAGCUGGCAAGUGGCCAAGAUCAGGAGAGAGACCAAAAAGUGACACAAUGUUAAUGAAUGGAGUAACUCACAAAACUAGAGCAAAAGUGGAAGUGGGGCUCUAGGAAUGUAUCAGCCCCUUUCCUAGAACAAUUAAAAUCCAGGAGACUUUGGAUCAUCUACGCUCACUAGUGAGCUGGAGGACCGUGGAGCAGACGGGACAGGCUACCUCUUCCGAACCUGUGCUGCUGCCAUGCUUCCAAACCUGUCUCAGGCUUGGAUGUUCCUGGAGUCCUCACCCACUGCAUGGUAAGGACUUGCUCCUCUGGGUGACCACCUUCUGUCGCACUUCCAGCCUGUGCCCCUCAGGAAGCACAUGAUGACAGGAAGGAGACCAUACAAGGAUUUGGGUUCAACUCUUAUCAACUCAGCAACUCUGGGUUAGCUGCGUGACUGACCUUCUCCAAGUAGAGAUUUUAAAGCUGCCUAAGUAAGGACCAAGCCAACGCAAGCUAUAAACUUCUCCCUUGCUCAUGAAUCUCCUAUCACUAGUCUUCACCUGGAAGAUUCAUCAAUGUCAAAAUCAAAAUCCUUAAAAGAUCACCCUGCUCCUCAGUUUUACUACCAUCUGCGAAAUGUAUGUGUCGGUGGCCUCUUUAAGCCACUGUGACUACUAACUGGGCUUGCAUGUGUACUUGUGCCUAAUAGGUGGCAGGUGUUAGCAGGGCGAGGAGUUGGAGUGAAUGAGCCGGUCGAUGACGAGUCUGGACUGUGUGAUUGAUCUGUCACUUGGCUCAGCUGUGCAAACCUGGGAGCAGUCAGAUUACAGAAACCAUUCAGAUUGAAGACACAGUCAUCCACAUGCCUCCAGCUCCUGAAACCGAAGACAAAGAACCAGGAGGAAAUGAGCUGCCUCCAGAGAGUAUCGUGCCUUGCAAACCCAUCCACUGCACAGAAAUGGAAGAGCUCUAAAAACUGGCAGUGUCUAUUUUAAAAAAAGAAAACACAUCCAAGGCUCCAGUCCUCCGAGGGAAGUGCCAGGCCUCUGCAGUGAUCAGGAAUUCAGCCAGACGGAGCCAAGGAGAGACAUUGUUCUCUCUGGGAAAGGAUGGCCAGCACCACGCACUGUCUCCACCACCCUCUGAGUCUAAAUUCUGCUGACACUUCCUGGACCUCCAAAGUCUGCAUUAGAAAGGGUUAUGUUUGGCUGAGAGACGCAGAGGGCAACUUAUCUGUCACAAGCAACAAGAAGCAUGGAACUGACACUCACUGCAUUAGGAGUGGCUAAUUUCUUAUCCUAACUUCCUUGACCUUUAUCUCUUGGUAACAAGAUGGCCACAGCACCUCCUGGGAUCUUAUCCCUAUUCCAGAAGAAAGAUUAUUGAACAGUAAAUAGCAUCUUCUUUGACUGACUUAGUCUUUGUUUAGGAAGAGAAGACCUUCCCUUUAAUUUAUACAUAUCUAUAUAUCUACGCUGUGCAUCAUUUAGUCUUCCUGAGUAUUUCACUUUUUACUCUGUAUCGUAAGAGAAGAAAUAGACAUUAAGUAACACAGCUGGUGUGCCACAUACACAGAUUUACAAAUCGGAAGGACCAAGCACCCUUGUGCCUUAAGAGAGGUACGCCUCACUCCACCCAUAUCUAGAACCCCUCCUAAGAACUACGGCUCUCUGCAGGGGAUGCCGCAGCACAGAGUCCUACUGUUCAGGAGAGCCAGACACUCCUACAGUAGGGCAUGCAGGGAACUCCACGGUGGUGGCUCAGUUCUGCUUACACAUACGAUUUUACAAGGGCUCUCUAACUGAAUAUUGUGUUCUCAACAUCAGACACGGUGCCUGGCCCAGUGUGAUGUUCUCAAUAAAAAACUCUCAAGUGGGUAAAUAUGAAACACUGCUCCUUCCUGUUAGCCAUACAUUUCUUAUAUUUAACUUCCUUUGCUAUUCCUAAGGUACUGGAGACUGAUUCUAGAGUCUGCUAAGAAGGCAGGCUGCCAGUGAACUACCUCCCCAGCAGUGCCCACAUACUGCCCCCCUCAACAACGGCUCUCUUCAAAGUAGGACCAGUCAUUUAGAGCAGAUCCAGAAAGGUCUUGGAACAAAGAUGUCCAAGGAUUCAGAGUUCCAGGCAUUGGAUGCGGUCUUUCUGUAUUUCUAGAAGGUAUGUGAGAAGGCAAGGAGCCUGGGUCACGACGGUGAAGUUCUUAUCGCUAGGUUUAAUUCCUUUAUGAAAGAGAAGCCAGAGAUUCUUGCCUGUCCAUUCUGCCUUGCAAGAUCACAAAGAAGAAAGGCAGUUUGUGAAAAGUGGCCCUCAUUAGGCACAGCGUCUGCAGGUAUCUUCAAUUUGUUCUUCCCAGUCAACAAGAAUCCUACCAGGCAGGAUUCAUAUUACAAAUA
This is a non-coding RNA of Rattus norvegicus (Norway rat), 2624 nucleotides long. The record is from RefSeq and is a predicted model, not a curated record. Lineage: Eukaryota; Metazoa; Chordata; Mammalia; Rodentia; Muridae.